AAGGACUUAGUACUCGAACCAGACGUCGUCGACCCAUGCAUCCUGACCAGAGCGGUGACAAUGACGGUACCGGUGCUCACCCCUAGUUCUCUCUCUCUCUCUCUUCCAGGUUACUCCUACCCUAUCUCAUAUUGAAACAUUGAGGACAAUGUUCGAUUUAAGUGUGGGAGGAGAUUUUAUCGCUUUUUAUCUUUCCUUUAUUUUUAUCGCUUUUUA
Molecule: long non-coding RNA, 216 nt
Filed under: Lathyrus oleraceus (garden pea)
Lineage: Eukaryota; Viridiplantae; Streptophyta; Magnoliopsida; Fabales; Fabaceae
Description: Pisum sativum (pea) long non-coding RNA (PSAT_LNC001155)
Source: RNAcentral